AACGUAGGUGGCGAGCGUUAUCCGGAAUUACUGGGCGUAAAGCGUGUGCAGGCGGGCUGACAAGUGGUGUAUGAAGUCUCCCGGCUCAACCGGGAAGGGUUAUGCCAGACUGUCAGUCUUGAGUGCGAGAGAGGAGAGUGGAAUUCCUGGUGUAGCGGUGAAAUGCGCAGAUAUCAGGAGGAACACCGGUGGCGAAGGCGGAUCUCUGGGCCUUACCUGACGCUCAGGCGCGAAAGCUAGGGGAGCGAACAGG
RNAcentral lists this ribosomal RNA (253 nucleotides) under uncultured bacterium. RNAcentral describes it as "partial 16S ribosomal RNA". It matches the Rfam family "Bacterial small subunit ribosomal RNA", at positions 524 to 776 of the family's 1533-position model. The record is from RNAcentral.